RNAcentral lists this ribosomal RNA (253 nucleotides) under uncultured bacterium. RNAcentral describes it as "partial 16S ribosomal RNA". It matches the Rfam family "Bacterial small subunit ribosomal RNA", at positions 524 to 776 of the family's 1533-position model. The record is from RNAcentral.
GACGUAGGAUGCAAGCGUUGUCCGGAUUUAUUGGGCGUAAAGAGUUCGUAGGUGGUUUGUUAAGUCUGAUGUUAAAGACUGGGGCUCAACCUCGGAAAUGCAUUGGAUACUGGCAGGCUAGAGUGCGGUAGAGGAUGGCGGAAUUCCCGGUGUAGCAGUGAAAUGCGUAGAGAUCGGGAGGAACAUCUGUGGCGAAGGCGGCCAUCUGGACCAGCACUGACACUGAGGCACGAAAGCGUGGGGAGCAAACAGG